This 202-nucleotide ribosomal RNA is filed under the name Pseudomonas sp. ATCC 13867. RNAcentral describes it as "partial 23S ribosomal RNA". It matches the Rfam family "Bacterial large subunit ribosomal RNA", at positions 805 to 1005 of the family's 2925-position model. The record is from RNAcentral. Lineage: Bacteria; Pseudomonadati; Pseudomonadota; Gammaproteobacteria; Pseudomonadales; Pseudomonadaceae.
UGACUUGUGGAUCGGAGUGAAAGGCUAAUCAAGCUCGGAGAUAGCUGGUUCUCCUCGAAAGCUAUUUAGGUAGCGCCUCACGUAUCACUCCAGGGGGUAGAGCACUGUUUCGGCUAGGGGGUCAUCCCGACUUACCAAACCGAUGCAAACUCCGAAUACCUGGAAGUGUCAGCGUGGGAGACACACGGCGGGUGCUAACGUC